GAUGAACGCUGGCGGCGUGCCUAAUACAUGCAAGUCGAGCGAACGGACGAGAAGCUUGCUUCUCUGAUGUUAGCGGCGGACGGGUGAGUAACACGUGGAUAACCUACCUAUAAGACUGGGAUAACUUCGGGGAACCGGAGCUAAUACCGGAUAAAAUUUUGAACCGCAUGGUUCAAAAGUGAAAGACGGUCUUGCUGUCACUUAUAGAUGGAUCCGCGCUGCAUUAGCUAGUUGGUAAGGUAACGGCUUACCAAGGCAACGAUGCAUAGCCGACCUGAGAGGGUGAUCGGCCACACUGGAACUGAGACACGGUCCAGACUCCUACGGGAGGCAGCAGUAGGGAAUCUUCCGCAAUGGGCGAAAGCCUGACGGAGCAACGCCGCGUGAGUGAUGAAGGUCUUCGGAUCGUAAAACUCUGUUAUUAGGGAAGAACAUAUGUGUAAGUAACUGUGCACAUCUUGACGGUACCUAAUCAGAAAGCCACGGCUAACUACGUG
Molecule: ribosomal RNA, 497 nt
Filed under: uncultured bacterium
Lineage: Bacteria
Description: partial 16S ribosomal RNA
Rfam family: Bacterial small subunit ribosomal RNA
Source: RNAcentral